This 647-nucleotide ribosomal RNA is filed under the name Stenotrophomonas sp. Its description in RNAcentral is "bacterial SSU rRNA". It matches the Rfam family "Bacterial small subunit ribosomal RNA", at positions 72 to 719 of the family's 1533-position model. Lineage: Bacteria; Pseudomonadati; Pseudomonadota; Gammaproteobacteria; Lysobacterales; Lysobacteraceae. The record is from RNAcentral.
UUGCUCUUAUGGGUGGCGAGUGGCGGACGGGUGAGGAAUACAUCGGAAUCUACCUUUUCGUGGGGGAUAACGUAGGGAAACUUACGCUAAUACCGCAUACGACCUUCGGGUGAAAGCAGGGGACCUUCGGGCCUUGCGCGGAUAGAUGAGCCGAUGUCGGAUUAGCUAGUUGGCGGGGUAAAGGCCCACCAAGGCGACGAUCCGUAGCUGGUCUGAGAGGAUGAUCAGCCACACUGGAACUGAGACACGGUCCAGACUCCUACGGGAGGCAGCAGUGGGGAAUAUUGGACAAUGGGCGCAAGCCUGAUCCAGCCAUACCGCGUGGGUGAAGAAGGCCUUCGGGUUGUAAAGCCCUUUUGUUGGGAAAGAAAAGCAGUCGAUUAAUACUCGGUUGUUCUGACGGUACCCAAAGAAUAAGCACCGGCUAACUUCGUGCCAGCAGCCGCGGUAAUACGAAGGGUGCAAGCGUUACUCGGAAUUACUGGGCGUAAAGCGUGCGUAGGUGGUUGUUUAAGUCUGUUGUGAAAGCCCUGGGCUCAACCUGGGAAUUGCAGUGGAUACUGGGCGACUAGAGUGUGGUAGAGGGUAGUGGAAUUCCCGGUGUAGCAGUGAAAUGCGUAGAGAUCGGGAGGAACAUCCAUGGCGAA